This is a long non-coding RNA of Suricata suricatta (meerkat), 613 nucleotides long. RefSeq lists it as uncharacterized. Lineage: Eukaryota; Metazoa; Chordata; Mammalia; Carnivora; Herpestidae. The transcript is spliced from 2 exons. The record is from RefSeq and is a predicted model, not a curated record.
AGGGGUCAGCCCCACCAGCCUUUCUGCCACCUGCGCGCUGCAGGGCUCAGCCCACAGGCUGCAGGGCCAGAACGGCCACCGCCCUCAGCAGAUGCUAGGGCUGGGGUGACCAAGGGCACCAGCCAGCUGCGCUGGGAGGCCCCUCCUCACCCCUGCUGCCGACUGGAGCCAUAAAUCAAAGUGGGGGGAUGCCAGAAGAAAAAGAAGAAAGGCAGAGCAGUCACGCUCACCCCCCACCCCCAGGCUGAACAAUUAAAGACAACGGCAGCCAGUGGGGUGAAGCCAGUAUUUCCUGUUCCAUCUGCAGCCUGUUCUUACCGCCCACAUGUAGCCAAGCCUUCCUGCGGGUUGCAUCUUCCUGAGGGCACGGGGCCCAACAGCCCCUAAGAUCCUCCGUUGUGGAUUCAGGAAGGACGCCCCGCUGGACCCCCGGCAGCACAUAGCGUGGGGAGUAGAAGGCGGGCUGGAGUCUACAGCUCCCACUGGCCAACACCGUGUGACCCACAGUGGGAGCUGGGACCGUGGGGGACCCUUUAUUCACACUUUCCGUAACGCUGUAUCUCUUUUAUAGCGUGAAUUGGUAUUGACUAAAUCAAACAAAGUAAUAGAGAAA